Astatotilapia calliptera (eastern happy) is the source of this 1031-nucleotide long non-coding RNA. NCBI's taxonomy places the organism in Eukaryota, Metazoa, Chordata, Actinopteri, Cichliformes, Cichlidae. The record is from Ensembl.
UAAACAAGUGUUUCUUUUCCCAUGGAACCCACCAACAACUCCUGCACUGCAAACAACAUAAAGUUGAGCCACUGCAUUCAUCAUUGUGUAUGAACCUACAAGUCAUAAAUUUUAUAUGCUUUGUCUAAUAUUCAGCAGUUCAUACUUGGGUCACUACCUUUGCAGAGAUGUCGUGUAAAGGCAUUGCUUUAGCACAUUCCGUUGCACAGCAAACCAUCACAAAACAUCUUUUUUUGCACACUUUGGUGAGACCUCUAUUUAAGGUAAAGGAUCUUUUGGAAUUGACAGCUUAUUAACUAGUUGUAAUUCGGGACAUAUUAGCACAAUACGACACAGCCCAGGUCAUUAUUCUAUCCUGAGUUUUAUCAUAUCUCAUUUAACCAGCCAUCAAGUUAGAAUGAGCCACCUGGGAAAUAAUUUCCUGGUGCUAUUUCUUCACCAACAACUGAGUGAUUUCUUCUCCAUGUUCAGUCUCAUGGCAUUACUCUAUACAGUCUAUAGAGACAGCAACUGAUGUCAUCAUCAGGUAAUACUAAAAAAAAAAAAAGACAAACUCUUGAAACUCUAACUCACCCAUUUUAUUGUUUUAUUGUCAGAACAUUUUUCUGUUGAAGAGUGAACUGGUUUGCAGUAAAAUAAAUUGACCACAAGGUGGAGACAAACACAAACGAACUUAAAGAUGCAACCAGAGAUGAACAGCCAGCAGUUUGUGGUUGUAACCAAGCACACCAUUGUUUUUCUUGUGACAUUACCAAUAAGUUUGAUGUGUCACAUGGCCCUCUUCCUAUUGAAAAAACAAAAGUUGUAUCCAAGAUGGCCGACUUCUAAAUGGCCACCAUGGUCACCACACAUCUUGAGGAGUUUGCCCCCUCACAUAUGCUAAUGUGCCACAAACAGGACUUUAAUAACACCAGCCAUUCCCAUGUUAUUACGGUGUAUCCAUAUAAAUGGGCCACCCUGUAGAUUAAAUUUAACAAUAAUUUUCUUACAUGACAUUUGACAAAGGAAACAUUGAACCCUGUCGAUUAAUC